RNAcentral lists this long non-coding RNA (594 nucleotides) under Camelus dromedarius (Arabian camel). RNAcentral describes it as "lncRNA (ENSCDRG00005009084.1)". Lineage: Eukaryota; Metazoa; Chordata; Mammalia; Artiodactyla; Camelidae. The record is from RNAcentral.
GUAGUGGUGGAAAGAGCACUUGGUCACAGUGGAGCCAGGCUCUCUGGACUCUCAUCCCUGCCUCACCAGCUGUGUGGCUUUGGGAGAGAGACAUUUCAUUUCUCUGGUGACAGUGUCCUCAUUUAUAAACUGAGGAGGUUGGGCUUCUUAGAGUGAUGGAUUGCCAAGUACCCCAGCGUUAAUAUUCCACCAUUGUGUUUUGUGUUUUCUGAGAUGCCAAGAGUAUCAGAAAUGGAGUGUGACAGUGUUCACUGAGGGCUGUGCUCCUGUAAAAAUGUUGGAGCUGCACUGAGUGAGCUGUUGCCGUCCGGGGCCAAGCAUGCUGUGGUUGGACCUGCCCAGCCGUGGAACAGAAAUGUUUGCUGGAUGGAAAAUCCAUAAAAGAAAGCUCCUGUGAAAGCCUGAGACAGACAGUGACUUAAGCAAAAUCAGGGACACACAGUCUGGUUGGACCAGUGUGAGGUGGAACGGUCGGGAUGUGUGGGAAAGGCCACAGGAACCCUGAGGAGGAUUGCUUUGAGGGAGCCUGUUGUUAAAUGGGUCAGCUUCCUGGAGCAAAGAAUGGAGUGGAAAAGUGGAGCGGUGAGUGGAAUC